AGAUUCUGCCAUAGAUAUAUGCAGACAUGAUUUACAUAAAAACUAUCUAACUUAGUAAAUUCCUUUUACCAAAUUCGAAAGGAAUGGAAGUUUGGAAGCGAUCGUUCAAUUUCUCGAUGCGACGCACCAAGGCAGAGGGAUCCAAAUUGAAAGUCACUUGAGAAAUGAUUUUCCGAGUUUGUCGGAUCUUCUGAUAAACUGCAGACGCUUCCUGACUGCUCAUUGCUUCACAAGUUAAAUGUGUAAUAUGUAGGUCUUUAUGUAUAAAUAUAAACGGGUAACUUUUACUACUGAAUCUUGGUUUUCCAUUUCUAUUUAUAUUUUCCUCCGCCUCUUAUACCAUCUUAGCCUUUAAUGCAAAACGGCAUGAAACAUAAAAUAAAACCCACUUUACGACUCAAAUUGAAAUCCCCAAUCUCAUACAUAAAUAUUGACUGUAAAGUGUUUUUUUAAGUUCUAUAAAUAUUAUCAGAAAAGGCAAUGUUAACUUAAAAUGUGCAUAACUAAAGUGGUUUUGUGUAGUGUUUUAAUACUUGCAUCACUUUCGUUAUGUCAAGCAUCAAAGAGUGCCGAUGCUUUAGCAAUAACAUUCGAUACAACAGUUGCUUUCUACGAAAUGUACAUGACGUGUGUAAACUCAGAGAUUCCUUCAAUGAAGUUUGCUACAGACGAUCUUAAAAGCUUCGUAAACUAUCCAUCCAAAACGACGGUGGGGUUUGCACCGAAAUUUACAAGUAACCGUAGGUUUUUUGCAAAUAUGGUGAGCCAUCCAGAAUUCAGAAAUACGCUUGCUAGAGAUGAAGAGGAACUCAGAGCGGCCAUGAUAAAGAAGAUGAGAUAUUGUGACUCAGUUGUAAUGGAUCAAGAAUUGCUACAACCUAUGUAUGAAAGAGAAGUGGACCAGUCGAAAAUAUAGACCUAUUUUGAUGAGCAAAUUUUUUUUAUUAUUUAUCUGAAUUAGGUUAGCAACGGGGGGCUGCUGGAAUGUUCGAAGGUG
Long non-coding RNA from Helicoverpa armigera (cotton bollworm), 997 nucleotides. RefSeq lists it as uncharacterized. Lineage: Eukaryota; Metazoa; Arthropoda; Insecta; Lepidoptera; Noctuidae. The transcript has 3 exons. The record is from RefSeq and is a predicted model, not a curated record.